Syngnathoides biaculeatus (alligator pipefish) is the source of this 2044-nucleotide RNA transcript. It is a transcript of the gene named keratin, type II cytoskeletal 8-like, with no coding region annotated. The record is from RefSeq and is a predicted model, not a curated record. The transcript has 9 exons. Lineage: Eukaryota; Metazoa; Chordata; Actinopteri; Syngnathiformes; Syngnathidae.
UCAGGUGCAUCCUGCUCACACUAGAAACGGGUUCAGCGCCUCACAAUGUUCACAGGCACAGCUGAUGGCAGCCGGGCAUGCAGCCCCGACUGCGACGAGACAGCGGCCGGAAGCCGCCCGAGCCGGAGCGGGGACGUCCGGUCUGCGGCCCAGUCCGAGGAGAAGGACGACAUGGUGGGACUCAAUGACAAAUUCCUCAGGCUGAUUGAAAAGGUGAAACAGCGGGAGGACGAAAACAAGAAGUUGGACACCAAGCUGAAAAUCCUCAAAGGUCAGGAGGCCCACAGCGGCAAGAUUGAGGACGCGGUGAAGCCGCUGCAAGCGGCGCUGAAGGAACAGACUCACAAGUUAUUCGCUGACCAGGCCAGACUGGAGGACGAGCUGCUUCACAACCAGGACGAGGCACAAAACAACAAGGAGAGGUAUGAGGGCGAGUUUCUGAAGAAAGCCGAAUUGGAGAAUGAGUUCAUUGUUGCCAAAAAGUUUGAAAAUCGUGCUUCACGAAAGGAUGCCGAUGAAGCUCACUUGGAAGCUGUCCAUUUGGCACUGGAGUUGGAAGAUCUGAUGGGCCAGCUGGAGUUCUUCAGGCUGGGCUACGAUGAGGAGAUCAAAGACCUGGAAUCUCAAAUCCAAAACCAGACGGUGAUCAUACGAGACAGCGGCAAGCGCUCGCAGGACAUGAAUGAGAUCGUCCAAAGUGUCCAGAGUCAGUACGCCGAUGCGGCCGCUCGCACUUGCCGGGAAGCGCAGCACUGGAACCAGAAGAAGAUGGACAUCCUGCUUCCAAAAGCAAGACGGCGUGAGCAGCAAGUGAGGGAAGUGCGGAGGGAGAUCAACCACACCCUGCGCCUCCUCCAGAAGCUGAAGGGAGAACUGGACGCUCUCGAGAGGAAGGAAAAAUCUCUGAAGAAGGACAUUGACGACACGAUCACGGAAGGCGACCAAAGCGUGGAACGCGCCCGCAAGGACGUCGGCCAGCUGGACGUGGCCCUGAGGCGCGCCAAGCUCGACUUGGCCGGCCAGAUCCGAGAGCAACAGGCGCUGAUUGACCUCAAGAUGGCCCUGGACCUGGAGAUCGCCACCUAUCGCGAGCUGCUGGAGGGCGAGGAGCAGAGAGGGUCCUGACCUUUUCAUGGCCCUUUGGGCACUCUUGGCGAAAGUCGAGUCGUGCAACUCACCCCAUUUUCCGCUUGUGCUUUUGUGUCUUUGCAGAAUGAACCAACUCAUGCGUAACUCAGAUUUCUAAAACCAAAGAAAGCAACUUCCAUGCAGACCUUCAGCCCGAUGAGCCGCAAGCCCAAAAAGCCGGGGCUCACGUCACGCCUAAUCUCAUCCGUGCUGCAAGUCCUCAAAACGAGACAGGCCUGCUCAUCAAGGUGCAAAUGGAGGCAGGGAGGGUUGUGUCCGAAAGUUCCCCCAACACAAAUGAUUAAACCGAGAGUGCCGAAUGUGAAAUUGAAGAUCUUUGUGAAAAAAGAUGGUUCCAUCCACCCCCCAAACCCCUCAAUUCUAUUAGUCAGCAAAGAAGUACUUGUUUAAAAAAAAAUUAAAGUUUAAGAUAACUGCGAUGCACCUCUCAGUAAUUGUGACUCUAUUUUAUUCUUUAUUGAGUACAAUGGAUAGCAUUUGUUGAGCAGUCGUGAUGGGUUUUGGCAGGCCGUCUUAAAUGUUCCCCUUUUGCUCUUUCGUCUUGGUGAUGUCACGUGUUGUUACCGUGUGGAAAACAUAUUUGUACAUGCACUGAACACGCAGGACGAUCCCUUGAGGACAUCUCGUCUCUCCUCACGCCGGGCAUCAUUUCGGACCUGAUUUGCCAAUAAUUUCAUUAACGUCUGCUCUCCCUCCUCCCUCCUCCUUCUUCUUCUUCUUUCCGCCCCCGUGCUACCCAUUUAAAAUCUCAUUUUCACUGAGGAACACACACAAGACGUGGAGCGUAUUUCACGUUUAUUUCAAAGAGUAAUUUUCCUCAGUGAGGCUUUGCUUAUUGAGGCAAACAUUUUUUUCAUGGAACGCAGAUUUUUUUUGACAAAGCACACAUCUGUGA